RNAcentral lists this ribosomal RNA (157 nucleotides) under Solanum tuberosum (potato). RNAcentral describes it as "rRNA LSU_rRNA_eukarya". It matches the Rfam family "Eukaryotic large subunit ribosomal RNA", at positions 967 to 1121 of the family's 3401-position model. Lineage: Eukaryota; Viridiplantae; Streptophyta; Magnoliopsida; Solanales; Solanaceae. The record is from RNAcentral.
UUUCCCUCAGGAUAGGUGGAGCUCGCGUGCCUGUUCUAUCAGGUAAAGCCAAUGAUUAGAGGCCUUGGGUGCGCAAUGCCCUCGGCAUAUUCUCAAACUUUGAAUAGGUAGGACGGCACGAUUGCUUUGUUGAGCCGCGCAACGGAAUCAAGNNNNN